UACGGAGGAUGCGAGCGUUAUCCGGAUUUAUUGGGUUUAAAGGGUGCGUAGGCGGCCUGCCAAGUCAGCGGUAAAAUUGCGGGGCUCAACCCCGUACAGCCGUUGAAACUGCCGGGCUCGAGUGGGCGAGAAGUAUGCGGAAUGCGUGGUGUAGCGGUGAAAUGCAUAGAUAUCACGCAGAACCCCGAUUGCGAAGGCAGCAUACCGGCGCCCUACUGACGCUGAGGCACGAAAGUGCGGGGAUCAAACAGG
Molecule: ribosomal RNA, 252 nt
Filed under: uncultured bacterium
Lineage: Bacteria
Description: partial 16S ribosomal RNA
Rfam family: Bacterial small subunit ribosomal RNA
Source: RNAcentral